RNAcentral lists this ribosomal RNA (1311 nucleotides) under Sternaspis buzhinskajae. RNAcentral's name for it is "16S ribosomal RNA". The stretch from base 819 to 1205 matches the Rfam family "Bacterial large subunit ribosomal RNA", at positions 2049 to 2651 of the family's 2925-position model. Lineage: Eukaryota; Metazoa; Annelida; Polychaeta; Terebellida; Sternaspidae. The record is from RNAcentral.
AAUUCAACUUGCUUCGACCAAACUUCUCUCUUAUUUAAUAUUUAUUCUUAAAACCAUUAAAAAAGACUACCCGAGAACUACCCUUAUCUUCUUUUAGUACUACACAGGAACCCAUUUAUAGUUUAUAAGUAGUUAUAAACCAACGUACCUUUUGCAUCAUGGUUUAGCAAGAAAUAUUUUAAACUAAUUAACCCCGAAAAUUAAGCGAGCUGCGCUCUUUUUGCUAAGCGCCCCCUUCUCUUGUUACAAAAAGUUUUCCAAAAAAUAGCUCAGAGGCUACAUACCCUCGCGCUAAUUAAUAGCUGGUUGUUCAAUAAUCUUAUAUUAGUAAGACAAGCAAACCUUGCUAUGUUACAAAAUAAAGGAUAAGCUUUAUUUUCUACGUAAUGCCCCCCUUUUCUCUCAAUGGUAGGCUUAAAAGCAGUCACCCAUAAAAAAGUGUUAUAACUUUAUUUUUCUAAAUUAUUUAAUUACAAUACGAACUAAACUGAACUUCUUCUAUCAAUCCACUAUUAUAAAUUUCUGCUAAAAUUAAUACUUUUACUUACCUUUAACCCCCUCUUUAAACCCUACCCCAUAUAAUCUUAUAACUCCAAACUUCAUAAAGGAACUCGGCAAACAAGGAUUUCGACUGUUUAUCAAAAACAUUGCCUCUUGUUACUCUAUAAAAGGUACAUCCUGCCCAGUGACUAAAGUUAAACGGCCGCGGUACCCUGACCGUGCUAAGGUAGCAUAAUCAUUUGCCUCUUAAUUAGUGGCUAGUAUGAAUGGACAAACGAAAAUCCCCCUGUCUCUAUCAAGCCCAUGAAAAUUAAUCCUCAGGUGAAGAAGCCUGAAUUUUGUUAAAAGACAAAAAGACCCUAUUGAGCUUUAUUCUAAUAUUAGAUAACUACAAUACAAAUAAAAUUUUUCCUCUUAUAAGAAUUUUGCUGGGGCAGCAAAGGAACAACCUAAAAUUCCUUUUUCUAAAGACUUAUUAGUCCACUUAAAUGAUCCAUAUUUAUGAUUAACAGAACUAGCUACCAUAGGGAUAACAGGCUAAUUUUUCUCUAGAGCUCAAAUUGACAGAAAAGAUUGGCACCUCGAUGUUGGCUUAGGAUAUCCUUAAGGCGCAGAAGCUUUAAAGGGUAGGUUUGUUCAACCUUUAAAAUCCUACAUGAGCUGAGUUCAGACCGGCGAAAGCCAGGUCAGUUUCUAUCUUUAACCCAACAAUUAGUCAAUAGUACGAAAGGACCUUGAGCUAAAAAAUACUUUUCUUCCACGAAAUCAAUUAAUUCUCUUAUAAUCUUCUAUUUCUUGAAAUUAAAUAGG